Molecule: ribosomal RNA, 538 nt
Filed under: uncultured bacterium
Lineage: Bacteria
Description: bacterial SSU rRNA
Rfam family: Bacterial small subunit ribosomal RNA
Source: RNAcentral
CGACGCUGGCGGCGUGGAUUAGGCAUGCAAGUCGAACGGUAUGGACCUUUCGGGGUUCAGAGAGUGGCGAACGGGUGAGUAACACGUAGGUAAUCUACCCUCAAGACGGGGACAACCAGGGAAACUUGGGCUAAUACCGGAUGUGUGUAGUGGCUAUUUUCUGAUUAUCAUUAUUUACGUAAGUGAGUAAUAAUAAGAAGGGAAAGUGGUUAUUACAUAAAAGGUGGCGUAAGCUGCCGCUUGGGGAUGAGCCUGCGUCCUAUUAGUUAGUUGGUGAGGUAACGGCUUACCAAGGCGAUGAUAGGUAGGCGGCCUUAACGGGUGGUCGCCCACACUGGGAUUGAGAUACGGCCCAGACUCCUACGGGAGGCAGCAGUCGAGAAUAGUCUACAAUGGACGGAAGUCUGAUAGUGCGACGCCGCGUGAACGAAGAAUCCCUUCGGGGUGUAAAGUUCUUUUAUACGUGAGCAGUGUCCUUUAUAUUAAUAGUAUAAGGGGAGAGAUAUUAGCGUAUGAAUAAGCAACGGCUAACUCCGUG